Zea mays is the source of this 191-nucleotide non-coding RNA. NCBI's taxonomy places the organism in Eukaryota, Viridiplantae, Streptophyta, Magnoliopsida, Poales, Poaceae. The record is from Rfam.
AUAUCUUUCUCGAUGUUUUGGCUAAGAUAAAAUGCAGUAUCUACAGUUUAAUAUUUGGUAUGUGGGUCAUAUGUCCACUUUAAUUUUAAAUUUAUUUUGUGAGGAGAGCCCACUUUAUUAUAAAAUUUUAUUUUUUGUGUGUAGGCCCAUAACACUGGCUUGCCACUAGGACCUCACGUGUCAUAGAGCCG